AUCUGGAUAGCUCAGCUGGUUAGAGCAUGGUGCUGAUAUCUCAAAGGUUAUAGGUUUGAGCCCUGUACGAGACA
Podarcis lilfordi (Lilford's wall lizard) is the source of this 74-nucleotide non-coding RNA. The record is from the annotation of a GenBank genome assembly. NCBI's taxonomy places the organism in Eukaryota, Metazoa, Chordata, Lepidosauria, Squamata, Lacertidae.